GAUGAACGCUAGCGGCGUGGAUAAGGCAUGCAAGUCGAACGGAAAGGCCCUGCUUUUGUGGGGUGCUCGAGUGGCGAACGGGUGAGUAACACGUGAGUAACCUGCCCUUGACUUUGGGAUAACUUCAGGAAACUGGGGCUAAUACCGGAUAGGAGCUCCUGCUGCAUGGUGGGGGUUGGAAAGUUUCGGCGGUUGGGGAUGGACGCGCGGCUUAUCAGCUUGUUGGUGGGGUAGUGGCUUACCAAGGCUUUGACGGGUAGCCGGCCUGAGAGGGUGACAGGCCACAUUGGGACUGGGAUACGGCCCAGACUCCUACGGGAGGCAGCAGUGGGGAAUAUUGCACAAUGGGCGGAAGCCCGAUGCAGCAACGCCGCGUGCGGGAUGACGGCCUUCGGGUUGUAAACCGCUUUCGCCUGUGACGAAGCGUGAGUGACGGUAAUGGGCAAAGAAGCACCGGCUAACUACGUGCCAGCAGCCGCCGUAA
Molecule: ribosomal RNA, 484 nt
Filed under: uncultured bacterium
Lineage: Bacteria
Description: partial 16S ribosomal RNA
Rfam family: Bacterial small subunit ribosomal RNA
Source: RNAcentral